GUAGCUUGCAAGAAUGACCCACCACUCACGAAACAACUUUACAAUGUAAAGAAAAUAAUAAUUGUUACCUAUUAUCUGCCUAUUAUAUGCCUUACAUAGUGCGUAAAAAGUCCAAAUAUAAUUGUUGAAUAAAACAAGAAACAAGGUGUCUUGCUGGGAAUAUAUUUAAAAGAUGAAGUCACUUGUGUUUUGUUUAAUAGCUACACUUUUUAUCCAGAAUUAUGCAGGAGCGUCAACUUUAAGAUGUUACAGCUGUGAAUCAUGCGGUGAUCCUUUUAAUAAAACUGCCGUAUUGAAUGUGACAUGUUCUGGCUCUUGUCUUAAAUCAAACUACGAUGGAUGGAUUACAAGAGGCUGUUCAAAUAUUUCUCUAGUACCAGGAUGUACCCGAAAUAAAGAACUUCUGGUAUGUGUAUGUGACACGUAUCUUUGUAACAAGACGCAAGGAAAACACACAUGUUUGGUUGGACCAUAUAUCAUCUGCAUCAUCUAUUUCCUUUUACAAACUCUCGAUAAACAUUUUAAUUGACAUAAUUCAUAUUUGUCAUUGUUUUCAGUUACCUUAAUCUUUAGAGACACAUUAUUACGAAACGCUCGUUUGAACUUUACAUUACAAGUUUCAGAUGACUUUAAUUGCAUAGCAAACAGCUAAAGACAAAGACUACAGUUCCAGUUUCUAAAUGAGAUUAUUGUAAAUGACUAUCUUUUGACAAAUAUGGAUGAUAUCCAUUUUAUAGUUUAGUUGAUGAGUAAUACCCUAAUCAUAAAUAAUUAUACAAAAUGUACAUAUUGUUUUUGAUUUUGUCUUUACAUUGCUUUGCUCUGUUUGUCUUUAUUAAAGCAAGUUAACGUAUUAUUUGUAUUGUAUUUCCAUUCAAAUGGCCAAAUGUUUAUUUGUUGUUACAAAAGUUAAAAUGAUAUACAUUGUAGUUUUAUACAUAGUAUUCUUUAUUAAAAGGAAUAAAACUAUAUCUAAGAAACGUUUGUUAAAACUUUAAAAAAACAGUUUAUUAUGAUUUGUCCAUAAUGUUAUUAUUCAUUUUCGAAAGUUUUGUACAGUAAUAGAGAACGAUUCUUUGAUAAUACACACAUGAAUUUAUACUGUAUAUAAACAGAAUAAAAUGUUUCGGAACAAAAUACUUAAAUAGGAUUUAACAAUUUAAGAAUAUUUUUGUGAAUGUGCUAUUGGCUCAUAUGGUAUAAUACCAACAUUGUCUUUCAUACAGAUUGUCAGAUUGAAAAAUUAUAGCUAUGCACGCAAGAGUAUGACGGCAAGAACAAAGACAUUGAUCAUUUAGCUUGAAUACACUUUCAUACAAACAUAAGGCGGUAGAUAGGGGUAUAUUUAGUGGAGAACAAGAAGAAAGCAAUUUUUCUUCUUAUUGUAUUUUGCUAAACAAUGCAAAAUGGUAUAAUGAAAAAAUGAUUUUCUGCUAUAAAGCAAACUGCAUAAAUAAUUACUUAAAGUAAUUUCAACACAUACGACGAUCCAGAAUGACAUUGAUUGGCUUAGAAUAACGACUUAAUUGCUUUAGCCUGUACAACCAUUUAGUACAUUCAGAUAGAAUUGCUAAGUUUAGCCAUUACUACAAUUUCAUCUUUUAAACUUUAUAAAGCACGUUAAUGGAUUGAUGUGAAUAUUUAUAAACAAUGCUUUAUUUGAUUGUAAACAUAAAUACUUUUAUCUGUUCAGUGUUAUAUAUUGCAUGUAUUUUCUAUCCUUCAUAUGACUUUUCAUGUUCAAAUUCUUAUUCAUUUGCGGAUCAGAAGCAUGCCAUUUAAGCUAUACUUAGAAUCAAAUAAAAAGACACUAGCAAUGUACCACACCAUGCGCCAUGAAAAAGACCCUUGAGAAUUCACAAGUUUGUUUCGUGAGAACGCUUAUUAUGAUUUGUCUUCAAGAAGAAUCGAUCACUUUCAAAAGAGUUGCUGGCAAAUUUCGUGUCUAUUAAUUAUGAACACUCGA
Ruditapes philippinarum (Manila clam) is the source of this 1966-nucleotide long non-coding RNA. RefSeq lists it as uncharacterized. NCBI's taxonomy places the organism in Eukaryota, Metazoa, Mollusca, Bivalvia, Venerida, Veneridae. The transcript has 4 exons. The record is from RefSeq and is a predicted model, not a curated record.